UACGUAGGGUGCAAGCGUUGUCCGGAAUUACUGGGCGUAAAGAGCUCGUAGGUGGUUUGUCACGUCGUCUGUGAAAUUCCACAGCUUAACUGUGGGCGUGCAGGCGAUGCGGGCUGACUUGAGUACUGUAGGGGUAACUGGAAUUCCUGGUGUAGCGGUGAAAUGCGCAGAUAUCAGGAGGAACACCGAUGGCGAAGGCAGGUUACUGGGCAGUCACUGACGCUGAGGAGCGAAAG
RNAcentral lists this ribosomal RNA (236 nucleotides) under uncultured Actinomycetales bacterium. RNAcentral's name for it is "partial 16S ribosomal RNA". It matches the Rfam family "Bacterial small subunit ribosomal RNA", at positions 524 to 759 of the family's 1533-position model. Lineage: Bacteria; Bacillati; Actinomycetota; Actinomycetes; Actinomycetales. The record is from RNAcentral.